AUACCGCUCGGUAUAUAGGUUCGUACCGUAUCGAAUAAGUCUUGAAAUUUCGGUAUGGUAUAAAAUUUCAAUCCUUGAUUUAAAUGACUUCUUUUAUGGACUAACAUGCAAAUAUCGGGAUUGUGUAACUUAUAUAUCAUGAACUAGCAUUGUCUAUAAUGCAAGUUACUCAUCUAAGAAACUAACAAGCAUGCUUUCUGUGGAUGAUAAUUGUUAGGACGGGAAACCACAACAUGUGGAUAAGGCUCUUAAUGGUGAAAUUUAAUAGGUUGGAUCAAGGUAUGUAAUACCGUACUAUAUCAGUGUUUCGAGGUUGGCUCAGGACGGUACAGUACCGUAUACCGAGCGGUAUGCCAGGGUGUACUGAGCGGUACACCUAAUUUAGGUGUAAAACCCUCCGAAAAUACUUGAAAUUAAAAAAAAGUUAGGAUAGGGUUUUUAAGUUAGAAAUAAAUAUAGUAAUAUCAUAAGUUUAGUAAAAUCAAUGUAAAUUAGGUAAGAAUAGUAUCACAUAUCUUUUUCGGGCUUUGAAGAAUAUCUUAUGCAAGGUUCGUAUUUCAGUUCAUUACGGAUUAUCCUUAUAUAAACAUACCUCUUGAUUAGAAAGUUCUUCCUCUUAAUCUUCCUAAAUUAGCCUCGAUUCAAUUCACAAAUCGUUGUUUUGUAGAGUUUAGGAGAGCACAAAUGUGAGAAAAAAAGAGUUUGAGAUAGUUUAAGAGAGUAUGAGAAUGUAAUGGAGUGAAAUAGAGGAGACGAAUGGUUUAAAUACCAUGAGAAAGGGUUCCAACGGUCAAUUUGACCGUUGGAGCACUAUAUCACUAUUACCGAGCGGUUUUAAAUAUUUCUUCCUCUUAUUGUAGCAUUGUUACAGUGUAGCACUCUAGCAUGUUCUGUCCGGUAGCGGGUGGUCCGCGUACUGGUAUGUGAUCGGACCGGUACGUAUCGCCCUUACCGAGCGGUACCAUUCGAAAUUGCAUACCAUGGGUUGGAUCAAGAUUGACAAUCCUUGGAACAUGAUGAGACUGAUUUUAGUAAAUAACUCCUUUGAUUUACUUUUAGGUUUAUAUAGUUUUACAUGUAGUUCUACUCCACUAUAUUUGACUUUAUGAACUAAAACUUGGUGGUUGAUUUUUUUUUUGAACUUUUUAUUGGUAGCUGCAAUGACAUAUAUGAAUCUCCAAUUGAAUUGUGAGAGACACGAUGGCUAUACAGGUCCAUCUUCUCAAAAGAUUUGGACUGCCAUUUACAAGGACAAUUCUCCACAUUGUUAGUUACAAAUGUUCUUUUGUUUCUUCUUUGCAUUUUGUUCUGUAAUAUUUUGUGUCAAACAUUGAAAUAAUUGUAGUUGAUGUGUUCCAUAUUACUUAAUAGAAAUUCUUUUGCUUUUUGGCUUUCUACGUGUUCAAAAGUGUUGCUUUCUUAGUUUAGAGGAUUCCACAAUAAGUUUAUAUGUUAAUUAAAUUAUUUUUUCAUGCAUAUUAUGUGAAUGGAUAUGGUUUCUUAUCAAAUCAAUUUACAGCUUGAUUUGGCAAUUUUGUACUUGAAUAGUUGGGUCUAUCUUUAAUAUUUGAUGAAAUUGUUAAAACUGAAGUAAUCAGGCACAUGCAACCUACUGAUUACUUGAGCUUGUUUGGGUAAGAAUUCAAAUGAACUGAAGAUUAUUGGGAUGCUUCUUAUUUGAAUGUCUUGGAUAUAUCUGCAACGGAAGAAGGCAGUCCUCAUGUCUUAUUUGGAUGUGCUUCACAAGUAUAUUCUAAAUGAUCACCUACCCUAUAAUGUUUUUUAAACUAAUUAUCCUGUUUUUUUCCUAUUGGAAUAACUUUUAGUCACCAGGAGUCUGCUUCUGAAACUAAAUUGUCGAGUGCUUACAUUCUUUUAUAAUGAAUAGAUAGCCUCUCCUGUUCUGCAAAUUGACUGACAGUAAUUUAAAAUUUUGGUCCCUAUUACCACUUAUACAAGCAUUGCUUCCAGGUGAAAGGUCUCUGUUUUAAGUUAAAACUUUUAACACCUUUUACUAGUUUAUAUAUUAAUUAAUUUGGAUGGAUUUUGAUUUCCUUUCAUUUGAUGUCACUUCUUCCUCCAAUUAGCCUCCUAAAUCAAGUUGAUGAUAGUUUUUCACAGUGGAAACAUCCUUCUGUCCAGCAUGCUCUCUCAGGUUUAGCAGUGAUGCAUCUGGGUGAUAUACGUUACAUGCAUUUUUAUUUUUAUCAAAAGUCUCAAUAAUUCAUAUUAAUCUGUUGUUGCAGAUAAUAACAAUAUCAUCGUUAUCUUCUUCAUGCUUGUGCGGGCUAUCUGUCUUCAUUCUUAUCAUCUCAUGUUUGUUGGUUUCAUAUCAAGUUUAAUUAUGAAUUGAUAACUUACUUUUUGGCUUUCGAAGUAAGCAUUUAUUUGUCAAUCUUCAAGCAAAAGCAGCAUGUGUAUUGAUAGAUUUAUGCUUUGGACCAUUAUCACCAUGGAUAUAUACAAUUGCUCCAAAGGUUUCGUCUUUUCCCAUAAUAAGUCUACAUAUUAAGUUAACAACUUGUAUUUUUGUAACUGCAUCGACCCUUUUUCAGGUUGAUCUUGCAAUUGAACUUCCGGAGGACCUCUUGGUGUUAUUCAAUGUACUCCUUUCUGUUUUGGGGCCACAUAUGUCAUUUUCUUCAGAUAUUGACCUUUGCAAAUGUUCAUUUCCUAAAGUGGCUGAUCAAGAGUCUUUAUCUGUUUCUUCUGACUCUGUGAUAUGUUCUCAUGGGGCUUCUAGCACAUCCAGUAGUCCGAAUGAAGCAAAGAGAAAGAUUGAUGCAUCUAAAGCUGCCACAAGAAAAGAUGUACUCCAAGAUGCUAACCUACAGUUUGCUCCUAGAGAUCUGUCAAAAAUUGUUCUGACAAAUGUUUCCAAAUAUUUUACUGGGGACUGGAUCAGAUUGAAUUUCAUUUGUGGUGUUUCAGAGCUGAUUUGUGUUCCCGGCAUGACAUAACCCCAGAAAGCCAUGAAGCUGCAACAGAAGCCAUACUCUUGGCUGCAGAAUGUUAUGUCAACUCAUUCUUUAUAAUCGAUUUCAUAUGGAUGCAAUUCAGAGCUUAUGAAUCAGAUGAAAAUCAUUGGAUCCAAAUUCAAGAAUAAAAAUGGAUUAGUGGUGUUUUAUGAAGACCUUAAGAGAUGUAAUGUCAAUCUGGAGACAAUAGCUUAUCUUGAAAGUUAAAGAGAUAUAACUGUUCUACAAAUUCUGCUUCUGCUAAACUGGACCUCGAAUCUGGGAGAAUUUUGGCUCUUGGGAAACCUUGUACAUAUUAUUUUGAAGGUAAUCAGCAGGCUUUGGAAAUAUCACAAGCGACAUUGAAUCAGCUGAUGUGGCAACAUUGAUUAGGCAGAAUCAACCAUUGCUUUGUCACUUUGUAAUCCUCCUUCAGAGUCUCCCCUCUUUCUACUCCAUUCUGCAACUGAGUUAUCCUGUUCUGUAGAGAAUGUUAAUGACAUUAUACUGCAGUCAGCUGCAAAUCUUAGUGGACAACUUACAACUUUGUACACCCAACUGAAAGCAGGCAAAAUACAGCUUGGAAUGGAAAAGUUACAUGGGCUGCGAAGGUGUUGGGCACGUCUUGAAAGAUUAAUAAUAACAUCUUCUGGAAAUGAUGAACGGAUAUAUCCCAUUGGCAUCAAAAGUGCUGGUUUCAUCUACAGAACUUUAGUUCCACAUUUAUCGUGGAUGCAGAAAAUAUCCAGAUUUUCAAGUUGCACAUGCUCAUUUUCUAGAUUUUUAGGAUGGAUGUCAGUAUCUUGAAAUGCAAAGCAAUACUUGAAGGAACACUUGUUUAUUGCCUCUGAUCUUUCACAAAUUUCAUCGGUUUUUUAUCA
Long non-coding RNA from Musa acuminata AAA Group (dessert banana), 3838 nucleotides. RefSeq lists it as uncharacterized. The transcript has 3 exons. Lineage: Eukaryota; Viridiplantae; Streptophyta; Magnoliopsida; Zingiberales; Musaceae. The record is from RefSeq and is a predicted model, not a curated record.